GACGAACGCUGGCGGCGUGCUUAACACAUGCAAGUCGAACGGAAAGGCCCUGCUUUUGUGGGGUGCUCGAGUGGCGAACGGGUGAGUAACACGUGAGUAACCUGCCCUUGACUUUGGGAUAACUUCAGGAAACUGGGGCUAAUACCGGAUAGGAGCUCCUGCUGCAUGGUGGGGGUUGGAAAGUUUCGGCGGUUGGGGAUGGACUCGCGGCUUAUCAGCUUGUUGGUGGGGUAGUGGCUUACCAAGGCUUUGACGGGUAGCCGGCCUGAGAGGGUGACCGGCCACCUUGGGCCUGAGGUACGGCCCAGACUCCUACGGGAGGCAGCAGUGGGGAAUAUUGCCCAAUGGGCGGAAGCCUGAUGCAGCAACGCCGCGUGCGGGAUGACGGCCUUCGGGUUGUAAACCGCUUUCGCCUGUGACGAAGCGUGAGUGACGGUAAUGGGUAAAGAAGCACCGGCUAACUACGUG
RNAcentral lists this ribosomal RNA (468 nucleotides) under uncultured bacterium. RNAcentral describes it as "partial 16S ribosomal RNA". It matches the Rfam family "Bacterial small subunit ribosomal RNA", at positions 28 to 507 of the family's 1533-position model. The record is from RNAcentral.